Molecule: microRNA precursor, 82 nt
Filed under: Ovis aries (sheep)
Lineage: Eukaryota; Metazoa; Chordata; Mammalia; Artiodactyla; Bovidae
Description: miRNA (ENSOARG00000023304.1)
Source: RNAcentral
AGGGGGACCAGCCAUCUUGGUUUGCCUGUGACUGAGGGACUUCCUGGGAUGUGGGACUUUCAGCUGUAAAGUCUAGACUGUC